ACGUUAGCGGCGACGGGUGAGUAACACGUGGGUAACCUACCUAUAAGACUGGGAUAACUUCGGGAAACCGGAGCUAAUACCGGAUAAUAUUUCGAACCGCAUGGUUCGAUAGUGAAAGAUGGUUUUGCUAUCACUUAUAGAUGGACCCGCGCCGUAUUAGCUAGUUGGUAAGGUAACGGCUUACCAAGGCGACGAUACGUAGCCGACCUGAGAGGGUGAUCGGCCACACUGGAACUGAGACACGGUCCAGACUCCUACGGGAGGCAGCAGCC
Molecule: ribosomal RNA, 272 nt
Filed under: uncultured Staphylococcus sp.
Lineage: Bacteria; Bacillati; Bacillota; Bacilli; Caryophanales; Staphylococcaceae
Description: partial 16S ribosomal RNA
Rfam family: Bacterial small subunit ribosomal RNA
Source: RNAcentral